UUGUCUCAAAGAUUAAGCCAUGCAUGUCUCAGUACAAGCCAAAUUAGGGUGAAACCGCGAAAGGCUCAUUAAAUCAGUUAUGGUUCCUUAGAUCGUACCCACAUUUACUUGGAUAACUGUGGUAAUUCUAGAGCUAAUACAUGCAAACAGAGCUCCGACCGGAGACGGAAGGAGCGCUUUUAUUAGAUCAAAACCAAUCGGUGGCGGUCUCCGUCAUCGUCCAAUUUGGUGACUCUGAAUAACUUUUCGCUGAUCGCACGGUCUCGCACCGGCGACGCAUCUUUCAAAUGUCUGCCUUAUCAACUGUCGAUGGUAGGUUCUGCGCCUACCAUGGUUGUAACGGGUAACGGGGAAUCAGGGUUCGAUUCCGGAGAGGGAGCCUGAGAAACGGCUACCACAUCCAAGGAAGGCAGCAGGCGCGCAAAUUACCCACUCCCGGCACGGGGAGGUAGUGACGAAAAAUAACGAUACGGGACUCAUCCGAGGCCCCGUAAUCGGAAUGAGAACACUCUAAACCCUUUAACGAGGAUCAAUUGGAGGGCAAGUCUGGUGCCAGCAGCCGCGGUAAUUCCAGCUCCAAUAGCGUAUAUUAAAGUUGUUGCGGUUAAAAAGCUCGUAGUCGAAUCUGUGUCCCGCGCCGCCGGUUCAUCGUUCGCGGUGUUAACUGGCGUGCCGCGGGACGUCCUGCCGGUGGGCUUAGCCCGCGAGGGCGGCCCAACUCAAUCCCGCCGCGGUGCUCUUCAUUGAGUGUCGAGGUGGGCCGGCACGUUUACUUUGAACAAAUUAGAGUGCUUAAAGCAGGCCAAAACUUCGCCUGAAUACUGUGUGCAUGGAAUAAUGGAAUAGGACCUCGGUUCUAUUUUGUUGGUUUUCGGAACCCCGAGGUAAUGAUUAAUAGGAACGGAUGGGGGCAUUCGUAUUGCGACGUUAGAGGUGAAAUUCUUGGAUCGUCGCAAGACGGACAGAAGCGAAAGCAUUUGCCAAAAACGCUUUCAUUGAUCAAGAACGAAAGUUAGAGGUUCGAAGGCGAUCAGAUACCGCCCUAGUUCUAACCAUAAACGAUGCCAGCUAGCGAUCCGCCGACGUUCCUCCGAUGACUCGGCGGGCAGCUUCCGGGAAACCAAAGCUUUUGGGUUCCGGGGGAAGUAUGGUUGCAAAGCUGAAACUUAAAGGAAUUGACGGAAGGGCACCACCAGGAGUGGAGCCUGCGGCUUAAUU
Molecule: ribosomal RNA, 1218 nt
Filed under: Leptoderis collaris
Lineage: Eukaryota; Metazoa; Arthropoda; Insecta; Coleoptera; Tenebrionidae
Description: SSU rRNA
Rfam family: Eukaryotic small subunit ribosomal RNA
Source: RNAcentral